This is a long non-coding RNA of Ostrea edulis (European flat oyster), 2650 nucleotides long. RefSeq lists it as uncharacterized. The transcript has 4 exons. The record is from RefSeq and is a predicted model, not a curated record. NCBI's taxonomy places the organism in Eukaryota, Metazoa, Mollusca, Bivalvia, Ostreida, Ostreidae.
CAGUAGCUAUAAUAUGGCUGGCACAUGCAAUUCCCCAAAAUUUUAUUCAUACCCAAUAAAAGUUAAGGUCAUACGCCAAUUUUAUCGUAUGUAAAGUGAAUUUCACAAAAAACAUUGUUAGAUGCCAAAACUUGGCCUAUUUCAUAAAUUGGAGGACACUAUAUAAUCUAUAGAAAAUGAUCAUUUUGUAAAGUUAAAUAAUACCCAAUACAAUAAAAUUUGUCCAGAAAGUAUAAACAAUAUUUGAAGGAAAUUCCUUAAUAAUUAAGAUGAAACAAUAAAAUUGCUGGGAAACAAUGCUGUUGUUGAGCAUUUACUGACAGAAGUAGCCAAAAAGCCAGUAAUUUGAGUUACCUCCCUUGGCGUAAAAAAUGUAAAAUGAUCCGAAACUUGCAUAAAUUGUAAUUUUCGAAGAAAACAGUAUUUAUUUAGAACAUUUUUCACUUAUCUCGAUUUUUUUUACCAAGUGUAAACGUGGAAUUAUUUUUUUUUUAAUUUGAUGGUGAAAAAUAAAUAUUCAGCCCGGACCUUAUCAAAGUUUCGUGGGUAAACAGAUAUGGCUGACAAGUGAUAGAAACGUGAAGUUUUUCUAGGAGUGGUCCUUAUUUUAGGGACUUGUCAACCCUUAAUAAUUGUUCAAAAGACAUAAGUGGAUAUUCAAGAUAUUUUAAAGUUGGAACUGCGUGUAAUAUUCAACCGAGAUUGACCCCCUGCUGUACAGAUCGGGGUACUUCGAAUUCGACGUAAAAGUUUAACUGUUUAAACUAUCGUGCACGGUGCAGAUGCUUACUAGUAUGCCGAGGUCAUUGCGAUUCUUUGGGGAUUUACUGGAGGCAACCACCACUAAAUGUAGUUAUCUACUACACAAAGGAAAGUGUAAAGCAGACAGAGCAGUAAACUUCAAUGUUUCAAGGGAAAUAUUUAUUCUCGUUGGAAGUGAUUUGGAAAAUAAUUAUAGUCAAGUCACCCCUACUGCAAGCCAAUUAUCAGACUGUAUCACUCACCUGAGCUGAAGACUCAAGAGAACUUUUCUCAUAAAAAUUUGUCUGGAUUCUGUUGUCAUCAUAGUGAUCUCAGCUGAGUCCAAGAUAGGAAGAGGCUUUGGAGAGAACACAGAAUUACUACAGACAAAAGACUUGUGAAGUUAUAAGGGGAAUUGCAGAACUCAUAGCUCCACUUCAAUCUAGAUAUGUUGACAGUUAUUUCACAGAAACACUUUGCAGCUGACAAAGAUAAUCAAAUGAUGACCACUACUUUAACUCUAUGGUUGCAGCAUAUUUCAAUUUUUGAAGUGACAAAUUUUAUUCCUGUUUGUGAACCAAUAUUCAAAAGAAACACUGCUAUGGCAUUAGACAUAACUUAGAAGAGAGUGGUGGGGUGGCAAAAUAAGAUUCCAUACUGUGAAAUGUAUCAAUUGUUAAUAUACAUAUAUCAAUAUAAAUUCAGUGCCAAUUUUCAUAAUUUCUAGGGGAAAAGUUUGUUUGUAACAAAUGUCAGAAAUAUGCACUAGCUCUUUCUUUGCAAACCAUGCUACUAAGUACCAGGCAUUAAGACAUGAUUUGUUUAUUGUCAUUUGUUAAACAUAGACAGAUCCAGUGAUUUGAAAGGGGGGGGGGGGUUCCAGAAAAAUGAUCUCAAAUCUGCAUUAGGUCAUAUCCGAUGAACUGAUAAAGUAAAUAUGUUUAUUAUUGAUUGCUAGUUACAUGUAACCUUUUAUGCAUCAGUUGAAGAUACUUUAUGAACAUUUUCCGUCACUGGUAAAAUUCAACAAACAUUUUGUGUAUCUGGAAGUGGUCAAUAUAUAUUUCAACAUCAGAGUAAAUAUGCAUUAAAGCAAGUCUGCCAAUCUGAUGUAGGCAGAAAAUGGAAUAUGUUAUGUUAUUUCAUGAAUGCAAAGGGAAAUGCUUUACAAGAGAGUCAAAAAAUGUCUGGUUAAUGCUAAAUAACUAUCUAGAUGUCCCAGAGAAAAGGAGAGGGUGUGUUCUACCCCCCACCCCCCACCCCACCCCCUCGGGAUCUGCCAAUGUCAAGUUUGGAAUGUGAGUGAAUGAAUUAAGAUUCUUCAUGAUAGGCAAUUGAUUAAAAUUUGAUUUACUGAUAAUUUUAACUUCAUAUAUGUGUGUUAAUUAAUUGACUAUUAUCUCAAAUCCUGUGUCAGAAAUGACCUCUAAAAAUCAACAUUGUAAAAUUUUAUAUAAUGAAUUACAUAGGCAUUUUUUUUGCCUUUAUUAUAUAGAAUGUAUACAAAGACAUGAAAUUUAUUUCUGAAUGUUCAUAUGUUCUAGUAAUUUUUCAUGAAUUUUAAUCAUUUAAUCAUUGAUUGGUUAUAUCUACUUCAUAUUUAUUUCUAUUUAUGUAGUUCAACAAUCUUCAUUUAAGUAGUUGACCUUUUUGCACUUAUUGAAAAUUUUGAGAUUUCAGUUCAACUUUUCACCAUCAAACCUUGCUUUUCCCACUGAAUUUAUUUUUGUAACUUGAAAUACACCUCUUCAAGUUUCUGGUUAUACAUAAUUCAUUUUUUUUGAGACAUUGUAUUGGGUUUUAUGAGAUCUUAUAAUUUGACCAUUAUUUUGUAAAUUAUAUUGGUGUGAAAUAUGUGCAAUUUUAACAAUUAAUAAAUUCAUUCAUUGGAUGAAUAUACACACAAAAA